RNAcentral lists this ribosomal RNA (253 nucleotides) under uncultured bacterium. Its description in RNAcentral is "partial 16S ribosomal RNA". It matches the Rfam family "Bacterial small subunit ribosomal RNA", at positions 524 to 776 of the family's 1533-position model. The record is from RNAcentral.
UACGGAGGGGGCUAGCGUUGUUCGGAAUUACUGGGCGUAAAGCGCACGUAGGCGGAUUGUUAAGUUAGGGGUGAAAUCCCAGGGCUCAACCCUGGAACUGCCUUUAAUACUGGCAAUCUCGAGUCCGAGAGAGGUGAGUGGAAUUCCGAGUGUAGAGGUGAAAUUCGUAGAUAUUCGGAGGAACACCAGUGGCGAAGGCGGCUCACUGGCUCGGUACUGACGCUGAGGUGCGAAAGCGUGGGGAGCAAACAGG